GCCGACUCUCCUUCGUUUGCUUACAGUUCUUCUAAAUUCAGAUAAAGGUGAAAAUGGCUGAAGUGUCGGACAGGACGCUGCAGGUUGCAGUGCUAGUUUCCUUUGCAACCGGUUUUUUUGCAGGAUGGCAAGCCAAUAGAAUUAGAAGGCAGUUCCUGGACUGGAGAAAGAAAAGGCUACAAAACAAACUUGCUGAAACGCAAAAGAAACUGGACCUGGCAUAAAUUGAAACUAAAACUAGGCCCUCGUACUUAGUUUUAAGUUUGACAACUUAAAAACCUUGUCCCCUCCCAAAGUGUUCUGGAAUUAUGUUGCCAGGUGGCAACCCUAAUUGAAAGACACAUUUUAUCAUACAAGCUUUGUGAAGAAGCUAAGAACAACUGGAAAUGAUUGGCGGUAACAUACCACCUUUAAACUCGCACAGAUUAUUCACGGAGAAUCUACAACAUGGAACAAUUCAACCUUUUUACACAGUAAUGUUUAUGAAAUAGGAAAAUGUUGGAGACAUAGACUUCACCAAAAUGCUGUUUUUAAAACUGAAAUUAUAUGUUUUGCAUAAUUAUUGAAAACCUUGAAAUAUUUUGUUGGAUUGCCUAUUGUUUCAUAAAUGAGCCUCAGAAUGAAAUUAUAUUUUAAAAAUAAUAAGUUUCUUUUUUUUUAUUUGUGUACUAUUUUUGUGAAUUGACCAUUUUUACUUAACAAUUUGUAGUUUUUAAAAUAUAUGCAUAUAUAAAUAAAUAGAUGCGUCUUUCAGGUGUGCUCACGUAUAAUAUGGAGACAGCUAUGUUGAUCCAACAUUUAAAAAUAUUUUGCUUGAAGUUACACGUACUGUAAAUGUAGGAGAUGAUUUCACAGCAUCGACUAAUUGAAUGACGUGUUAAAAGCUUUUUCUUGGGGAAACCUGGGCUAAAUGUGUUAAAAUUGCAUGGCAAUAUACAUAAUGUGACACAUGAUUUGCUGAGCUCUUAAUGCUAUAACUAUCUGUUUUGAUGAAAUUAUGCAUGCAGUUAUUGAUACAAUGUGCAUUUCUGUGAUACUGACAUCAGUACUGUUUACUGAAACACAUUUUAUGUAGGUGCUUUGCUCAAAGUUGAUUAUAUAAAAUAUAUGUUAAAUAGGUUAGAUCAAAGUGUUUUUAUAGGAAUAAGCCCCAUCUAGUGAUAUGACCGUUUCCCUUUAUUUUGCUGGCAUUGUAUGUACAAGAUGGUUCUAUCACUUUUGUAAGGUUAUAGUAGAAAAGAAAAUAUAUUUGUACACUUCUUA
RNA transcript from Polyodon spathula (Mississippi paddlefish), 1263 nucleotides. It is a transcript of the gene named mitoregulin-like, with no coding region annotated. Lineage: Eukaryota; Metazoa; Chordata; Actinopteri; Acipenseriformes; Polyodontidae. The transcript is spliced from 3 exons. The record is from RefSeq and is a predicted model, not a curated record.